Molecule: ribosomal RNA, 426 nt
Filed under: uncultured cyanobacterium
Lineage: Bacteria; Bacillati; Cyanobacteriota
Description: bacterial SSU rRNA
Rfam family: Bacterial small subunit ribosomal RNA
Source: RNAcentral
GGGGAAUUUUCCGCAAUGGGCGAAAGCCUGACGGAGCAAGACCGCGUGGGGGAGGAAAGCCUUUGGGUUGUAAACCCCUUUUCUCAGGGAAGAAGAAAGUGACGGUACCUGAGGAAUCAGCCUCGGCUAACUCCGUGCCAGCAGCCGCGGUAAUACGGAGGAGGCAAGCGUUAUCCGGAAUGAUUGGGCGUAAAGCGUCCGUAGGUGGCUCAUCAAGUCUGCUGUUAAAUCCAGUAGCUUAACUACUGACAAGCAGUGGAAACUGAUGGGCUUGAGUGCGGUAGGGGCAGAGGGAAUUCCUGGUGUAGCGGUGAAAUGCGUAGAGAUCAGGAAGAACACCGGUGGCGAAAGCGCUCUGCUGGGCCGCAACUGACACUCAGGGACGAAAGCUAGGGGAGCGAAAGGGAUUAGAUACCCCUGUAGUCA